Molecule: long non-coding RNA, 567 nt
Organism: Melospiza melodia melodia
Lineage: Eukaryota; Metazoa; Chordata; Aves; Passeriformes; Passerellidae
Exons: 3
Source: RefSeq, a predicted model, not a curated record
ACAAAGCUCUUCAAUCAAAUCAAAACUUCCACAAGAAGGUGCCUCAAGAGAGAUAAUCAUAACAUUCAUUUUUCAGGCUUCUGCAGAUACACUACUGAAGAAAUGAUGAAGGGUGGUGAUCAACACUAACACGUUUCACAAGUUAUAUACUGCCUGAUGAAAUGACUGCUUGUGGCCAACUGGUCUUAGUGUCUGCUGCAUGCACUACAGCUCAUCCUGCAGUCAUCAUCCUCUCUUUCUGAGCAGGAACAUGCUGGAAGCUGCAGGAGUCAAGGCUGACAACACAGAGACGGUGUAACUCUUCAAAAUGCAUCUUACAUGGUUCCACCUGGAGCAUCCUCCUCUCAGUAACAUCUGCUGCACUCCCAAAUGGAUCCCCAUGUGCACAGUGUGCAUCCACCUAGGAGAACAUAAGGCACUGGUGACUGGCAGAAUUCCUGCAGGCUCAAACACUGAAAAUUACUUCACAAGAUGCAUGUGUGACAAUUUCUGUACUUGCUAUGUCAUGUUUCUAAAUACAAAAAAAAACCCCAAAGCCAAAACCAAACCAAACAAAACAAAACAAAA